AUGGGUAACCGUCCCUUUAAGAGUAGAGAAUCACACCUCUUAUAUUGUCAUCAGUCCCAUUUCGAGCUCUCUCUCCCUCACACUCACACGUGGAAACUUAAGAGCUGGAAAUACAUUCUUCUUACUUUCAUCACAAGACUCAAAACUGAGUGGAUUAAAAUUCAAUGGUUUAUUCUGCAGAAGAACUAAGGGGUGAAUUUCAAUCAAGAUAAGAUAAAAAGGCAUCAAGAAAAGCACCAAAUUGUUGCAAACAUGCAUACGUACUCAUGAAAUAAACUUUUUUCCCCUUUCUUUCUGUCUGUAAGUUUCCCCUCUCAUCUCAGUGACUCUGUAUCUUUCUGUUCCCAAACAUCCUUUUUUUUUUCUUUUUUUCUUUUGUUUUGUUAUAUAAACCAUUCCUGAGCAUUUUUCUUCCCUCCCAUCUUCUGUCAGGUCAACUUGAUAUUCCUCCUAACCUCUCGCAUAACUUUCUUGUCCUGACACUUAGCAGCUUUAUCUCUUUCCACAUUCCUUCACUCUUCUUCCUUCUCCUUUUAACUCCCUUCUCCUUUUCUUUUAACCCAUUCUAACUUCUGCCUAUGGAAUUCACUUUACAUUUCCUGAUCCCAACAGUUUGUAAACUGUUCCUUUGAAUCAAAUUAUAUUUGAAAUUUGUAUUAAAAUAUGUGAAAUGCACAUUGUCUAUGGUGAAACAGCUGAAAGGCUAGUGCCUUUUUAUGUAUAGAAAAUAACAAUUUUAAUAUUUUUAUUUGAAAUUAGAAUUUUUUUAGAGAGUAAAAGAUAGCUUGCUGCUUGACCCCAAAAUAUUUCUGUAUGGUACAUUGAUUUUCUGCUGAUUCAAAUACCACAAAAAGCAUAUCCUCCCUUGAUGAUAUUAAUUUGCUUGCUUUGUCAAUACCGGUUGGAAGCUGAAUGGACUUGAUACCUUUGGGAGAUUUCUGUACAGGGAAAUUAUUCUUUUAAAAGUUGGGUUAUAUCUGUAAGACUCCAUUACUACUCUGAUGUAUUCACCAGAUGGCUACUCUAUUUGAUUAUGGAUUAUCUCAUAAUUGAAACAUCAACAUGUUUCAAAGGAAUGCCUGCCCCCAAGAGCUAUAACUCAUGGAUUUAGAGUCAAACUGUUAAUAUUUUCACUUUUUUCUCUUAAAUGCAAGCCUAUUUUCCUUUGAUUUGUAACAUACUUUAAAGAUUUAUCCAGAAUGUAAAUAGAUAACUUUAACAUUGUGUUUCAUUCAAAUAAUGGAUUGUUUGUAGCAGAACAUUUGUUUACUUCACUCGAAUUUACUCCCAUUUAGGAAACAAGCAUUUCUCAGUCAGAAAGUGCGUGUUUUGCACCAGAGAUUCCAAUUCCAACAUCUGCAGUUAAGGAUUUGAAAGACUGUAAGGAAUAUGGGAGAGUCCAUAAAAAGGACAACAACUAUGGCCACCAGCAGUAUUCCAGCCUCCUAGUUUCCCCACCUCCUUCAAAGCACUCCCUGGGAUGAGAGGGACUCAGAAAGGCAAUCAAUAAGAAUACCAUCUUUUAGAUUUCAUUUUGUGAGAUUGUCUGGGGCGUGGGGGGGGAGGGAGGGAGGGAGGGAGAGAGAGAGAGAGAGAGAGAGAGAGAGAGAGAGAGAGACCAAUUGACCAGUCCAUCAUCUAAUCCAGUGAUUACCAAAGUGGGCGCUACUGCCCCCUGGUGGGUGCUGCAAUGAUCCAGGGGGGCGGUGAUGGCCACAGGUGCAUUUGGGGGCAGGACCAGGAGAGGGGCGGGGCCUCUUCCCAAGUGCCGGAGACAGGGCUGUGCCCCUGAGGCACCUGUUAGGACACACAGGGGGUGGAGCUAGAGGAGUGGGCGUGGCUUCUUCCCAAAACGGCUGAGAAUCUAUACCUCUCCUGAGGCUCUUGUUGGGACACAGAGGGCGGAGCUAGGGAAGGGGGUGGGGCCUCCUUCCAAGAGCCCAAGACAGGGCUGAGCCUCUAUACCUCUCCUGAGCAGCCUUUUAGGACUAAAGGGGAGACUAGGGGCAGGAGCGGGACCUCUUCCCAAGAGCGCGAGACAGGGCUGAGCCUCUGUAUACCUCCCCUGUGGCUCUUGUUAGAACAUGGGGGGCAGGGUAUAGAGGCACCGCCCCCUCCUCUAGCCCCGCCCCCUGUGUCCUGGCAGGUGCCGCAGGAGAGGGAUAGAAGCUCACCCCUGCCUCAAAGCUCAUAACUCCACCCAUCCCAG
Molecule: long non-coding RNA, 2209 nt
Filed under: Anolis carolinensis (green anole)
Lineage: Eukaryota; Metazoa; Chordata; Lepidosauria; Squamata; Anolidae
Description: lncRNA (ENSACAG00000043128.1)
Source: RNAcentral